UCAUGGUCACUCUGUCACAAUCCUGUGAU
Molecule: non-coding RNA, 29 nt
Filed under: Rattus norvegicus (Norway rat)
Lineage: Eukaryota; Metazoa; Chordata; Mammalia; Rodentia; Muridae
Source: RNAcentral